RNAcentral lists this long non-coding RNA (312 nucleotides) under Brassica rapa (field mustard). RNAcentral describes it as "long non-coding RNA (BRAP_LNC001470)". The record is from RNAcentral. Lineage: Eukaryota; Viridiplantae; Streptophyta; Magnoliopsida; Brassicales; Brassicaceae.
CGUGUCCGUGGUGAUGUCUUUUUAGUCUCGACUUUGAGAGUAAGCCGCUGAAUGUUCGGUAGAGCGUGAACUUCCGGUGGAGGUGGUGGCCGUGACCGUGGUGAGGAUUCUUUUUGUGUUUGAAGUUGAUGAUGUCUUUUAAAAGGGUUUUGAGGUAAUUGUAAUCCAUGUAGGUUUCGUGCCAUUCAGGCACCAUCUGCGACGAGAACUCUUUCCCGAACUUCAUUCUUCUUCCCUCUUCUGUUCUUGUCUGAAAGAUAAUCUUUUGGUUCUUUUCUCUCUUGUUUUUUUUUUGUGAGGUUAAGAGUAGUA